GACGAACGCUGGCGGCGUGCCUAAUACAUGCAAGUAGAACGCUGAAGUCUGGUGCUUGCACUAGACGGAUGAGUUGCGAACGGGUGAGUAACGCGUAGGUAACCUACCUUAUAGCGGGGGAUAACUAUUGGAAACGAUAGCUAAUACCGCAUAACAGCUGUUAACACAUGUUAAUAUGCUUGAAAGGGACAACUGUCCCACUAUAAGAUGGACCUGCGUUGUAUUAGCUAGUUGGUGAGGUAACGGCUCACCAAGGCGACGAUACAUAGCCGACCUGAGAGGGUGAUCGGCCACACUGGGACUGAGACACGGCCCAGACUCCUACGGGAGGCAGCAGUAGGGAAUCUUCGGCAAUGGGGGGAACCCUGACCGAGCAACGCCGCGUGAGUGAAGAAGGUUUUCGGAUCGUAAAGCUCUGUUGUAAGAGAAGAAUGUUGGUGAGAGUGGAAAGUUCACCAUGUGACGGUAUCUUACCAGAAAGGGACGGCU
This 489-nucleotide ribosomal RNA is filed under the name Streptococcus sp. foal5. Its description in RNAcentral is "bacterial SSU rRNA". It matches the Rfam family "Bacterial small subunit ribosomal RNA", at positions 28 to 498 of the family's 1533-position model. Lineage: Bacteria; Bacillati; Bacillota; Bacilli; Lactobacillales; Streptococcaceae. The record is from RNAcentral.